Molecule: non-coding RNA, 610 nt
Organism: Sus scrofa (pig)
Lineage: Eukaryota; Metazoa; Chordata; Mammalia; Artiodactyla; Suidae
Source: RefSeq, a predicted model, not a curated record
GCAACACGGAAAUCCUUGUUUCUGCGAUGAUCCAGGAAGCGGAAUCGUCUGUCUGUGGAAGAGAAAUAUUGCCACCGGACCCCUUAAUGAAGUGAGAAGUCCUUCAAUAAGGAAAAUCUGGCUUCCAGCACCGCAGUUUUGGCCUUACCUCCAGCAUGCAGAUGUCCCAGGCCAGGGAUCAAACCUGCAGCACAGCACCACAGCAGUGACCUGGGCCACAGCAAUGACAAUGUUGGAUCCUUAACCUCUAGACCACCAGGAAACUCCAAGAAAUCCUUUUAUAAUCUUAUGGGGGUUCCCUGGAGAAGAUGAUGUGAAGACAGAGCUGAGAGAGAUUCAAAGAUGCUGGCAUUGAAGAUUGAAGUGAUGUGGCCACAAACGAAGGGGUGCUGGCAGCCCUUGGAAGCUGGAAGGGGCAAGGAGUGGAUUCUCUUCUGGAGCCUCCGGAGGGAGCCGAGCACUUCCUGCACCUUUAUUUUGGCUUGGUGAGAUGGAUUUCACACUUCUGGCCUCCAAAACUGUGAGAGUAUAAAUUUUUGGUUUUAAGCCAUGCGGCUUGUGAUCAUUUAUUAUGGCAGCUCUAAGAAACUAACAUGGAAGAUGUUCGGUC